Molecule: long non-coding RNA, 2094 nt
Organism: Pseudomyrmex gracilis
Lineage: Eukaryota; Metazoa; Arthropoda; Insecta; Hymenoptera; Formicidae
Exons: 4
Source: RefSeq, a predicted model, not a curated record
GUGAACGGUUGUAUGGUGCUUGAAGAUAGAACUGAGAAUUAUCUAUAUCGUGCAUCGCUCUAACAAGUAAUACACGAAAAACAACGAGUUAGACAAUACUUUAAAAAGUGUCUUCUUCGAAGAUGUUGCUACAUAUAAAUUUUUCCGCCUUUUGAUACAAAACGAUCUACGACUUUGAGUUUCUGUUAAUAAUCUGUGUAUACUGCUCGUCAUUAUUUACGUGCGUGACGAUCACAGAUCAUGUCAGUUUAUAUGUGUCAAUCACGUGUAGUGAAGUGAGUUUGCUUUCUCGGAAGCAAAUAUUGUAAAAUUUCUUUGAAGAAAUAAAAAUUCCGACGAGGUUAAAACUGACAUUAUAGAUUUCAAAUAAAAACUACAAGUGAACAAUAAAAAAUCGGAAAGGUCAAGAGAUAGAGAGUAACACAAAAUAUAUAUAUUUGUUAUAAACACUCGAACAUUAUCAACAAAAAAGUGAAAGACGUCAAAGGAUACGAUAAAAAAAACAAUUAUAGGAUAAGAAGAAAAAAGGAAUCGAUCAGUAAAUGAGCGAUGAGUAUGAUACGUGGUACCUAAAGUGUAUCCUAAACUGUCAUAGAUCUAAAUUGCAAGUCACAUAUUUGUAUUCGUCACAUCGGACAGUAUUUUAACACUGAGGAUGACGAUACUAAUGUAAUUAAAAUUCAUUUGUGUUAUUCAUCAUUUGUUGUUUGUCACAUCUGUAGCAUUUUUGCAUUGUACCAGUUGCGUAAUUAUACAUCUAAUCAUCGGUUAGAAAGUAAUUUAUUACGCGUGAAGAACAUGCAGCGUGAUUUACGACAUUGUCACCAAAUAGCACUUUUCCACUUUGAUCAAAACAAACGACCCUGUGACGCUUACAAAAUUAUUAGUAAAGUUUAUCCUGAUUCUGCACCAUGCGCCAGGACAUUCAACUCGUGGUUUCGCAGAUUCAAACUUGGCAAUUUUGAAUUUAAUACAAACAAAAAGUUAAAAGAUGAAGACUUGCAGAAACUGUUAGAUAAAAAUCCAAAAAUAUCGCACAGAAAACUGGCUAGAAAAUUGAAUGUUACGCGAAACACUAUUUGGAAACGUUUAAAAACUAUGAAAAAAUCCCAAAAUUUAAAAAAACGCAUGGACUUGGCUAGUCAAAUUCGUUGCAACACUUACAUUUCACUGCUUUCAAGACACAAUAAACAAAAGCACUUUCUGGAUUACGUUGUGACUGGUGCUGAAAUGUCGAUAUCUUACGAUACUUCUAAUCAAACAGAAGCAAAUGCAAAUGAGGAAAAAAAAUGAAGCUCUAUAUUUGGUGGGAUACUAAAGGUGUUAUAUAUUACGAAAUGCUACAAUCACAUGAAAGUGUUAUCGAUCAAUAUUCACGACAAUUAAUUAUGGUAAAGGAAGCGUUAAACUGGAAUCGACCGCAAAUAGCAAACAAAAGACGUAAGGUGAUUCUGUUGCAUGAAAUGUUUGUCCGAACAAAUAUCCUUAGAUCCGUAAAAGAACAGAUAUUGGAAUUUGGAUGGGAAGUUUUAGCCUAUCCUACAUCCAUUCUUGACAUUACUCCAUUUGAUUACGUUUUCCCACAUCUGGCAGACGCUUUUAAAAACAAACAAUUUAAAAGUUUCGAAGAAGCAAAAAAUUGGAUCGUAAGAUUGAUUGAUUUACUACACCCAGUUUUGUUUACUGAUGGAUUUAGCUUAUUACUAAACAAGUGGAAAGAAUAUGUAGCAAAAAAGGGAAUACAGUUUGAUUAAAAUACAAGGAAUCACCGCAAGUUUUGUCUCUUAUCUCAUCGAAUCGAAUAUCUAGUAACUCAGUUCAAUUUGCUAUAAUGCUUGAUAGUGAUGAUAAUUCUUAGCGAGGACAAACAACGCCAAAGCAAUUGUCGCGGCUGCUUUGGAUCCGUCUGUCGAAAUAGUGCUUUCAAGUACGAAUGUGUGCAAGUGAAAAUCGCAUAGAACCGAAAAUUAUUCUAAAUAAUUUUGUUUUUUAAACGAUUCUAUAUUAUUCUCAUUGUGGUAUUUAUCGACGUUUUACUAUUUUAAAAGGACGAUUUUUUUAGUAUAAGUAUAUUUUUAUAUGUACGGGGUGUCU